GCCUGGGUGGCUUAGUCGGUUAAGCGUCUGACUUCGGCUCAGGUCAUGAUCUUACUGUCUGUGAGUUCGAGCCCCGCGUCGGGCU
Molecule: non-coding RNA, 85 nt
Organism: Felis catus (domestic cat)
Lineage: Eukaryota; Metazoa; Chordata; Mammalia; Carnivora; Felidae
Source: Rfam